RNAcentral lists this ribosomal RNA (497 nucleotides) under uncultured bacterium. Its description in RNAcentral is "partial 16S ribosomal RNA". It matches the Rfam family "Bacterial small subunit ribosomal RNA", at positions 28 to 507 of the family's 1533-position model. The record is from RNAcentral.
GAUGAACGCUGGCGGCGUGCCUAAUACAUGCAAGUCGAGCGAACAGAUAAGGAGCUUGCUCCUUUGAAGUUAGCGGCGGACGGGUGAGUAACACGUGGGUAACCUACCUAUAAGACUGGGAUAACUUCGGGAAACCGGAGCUAAUACCGGAUAACAUUUAGAACCGCAUGGUUCUAAAGUGAAAGAUGGUUUUGCUAUCACUUAUAGAUGGACCCGCGCCGUAUUAGCUAGUUGGUAAGGUAACGGCUUACCAAGGCGACGAUACGUAGCCGACCUGAGAGGGUGAUCAGCCACACUGGAACUGAGACACGGUCCAGACUCCUACGGGAGGCAGCAGUAGGGAAUCUUCCGCAAUGGGCGAAAGCCUGACGGAGCAACGCCGCGUGAGUGAUGAAGGGUUUCGGCUCGUAAAACUCUGUUAUUAGGGAAGAACAAAUGUGUAAGUAACUGUGCACAUCUUGACGGUACCUAAUCAGAAAGCCACGGCUAACUACGUG